CCAGACCACCAGCUAAGGUCCCAAAAUAUAUGUUAAGUGGAAAAGGAUGUGGCGUUGCCCAGACAACUAGGAUGUUGGCUUAGAAGCAGCCAUCAUUUAAAGAGUGCGUAAUAGCUCACUAGUCGAGUGACACUGCGCCGAAAAUGUACCGGGGCUAAACAUAUUACCGAAGCUGUGGAUUGUCCUUUGGACAAUGGUAGGAGAGCGUUCUAAGGGCGUUGAAGCAUGAUCGUAAGGACAUGUGGAGCGCUUAGAAGUGAGAAUGCCGGUGUGAGUAGCGAAAGACGGGUGAGAAUCCCGUCCACCGAUUGACUAAGGUUUCCAGAGGAAGGCUCG
RNAcentral lists this ribosomal RNA (336 nucleotides) under Staphylococcus aureus. RNAcentral's name for it is "partial 23S ribosomal RNA". It matches the Rfam family "Bacterial large subunit ribosomal RNA", at positions 1027 to 1368 of the family's 2925-position model. The record is from RNAcentral. Lineage: Bacteria; Bacillati; Bacillota; Bacilli; Caryophanales; Staphylococcaceae.